Molecule: long non-coding RNA, 874 nt
Filed under: Setaria viridis
Lineage: Eukaryota; Viridiplantae; Streptophyta; Magnoliopsida; Poales; Poaceae
Description: long non-coding RNA (SVIR_LNC008325)
Source: RNAcentral
GGAUGGAGGAAAGAGAGAGAUAGGGGAGGAGAAGUGAGAGAGCCAGAGAGGAGAUACCGAGAAGAAGAUAAGAUAGGGACGAAGGGAGUCUAGACUUUGGAGUGAGGUUGGGCCAAUAAUAAUGCUUUGUUUGGAAGUUGUGGAUCGAUGACUACAAAUUUUUAGAUCUUGUUGAGAUACCGAGAAGAAGAUAAGAUAGGGACGAAGGGAGUCUAGACUCUGGAGUGAGGUUGGGCCAAUAAUAAUGCUUUGUUUGGAAGUUGUGGAUCGAUGACUACAAAUUUUUAGAUCUCGUUGAGAUCUACAACUUUGAUAUAAAGUUUAUCUUCAUCUGAAAUGAUAUGAAAAGGUAAUGAUUUUUUUUGCACGGAAUAAUUUCUAGGAUCAGGUCAUGCCAUCACCCACACCUAGAAAUGAUUUACAGGGCGGGUGACGCCCUAGAAAUUAUUUUCACGUACAGGUGAUGCCAUACACACCCCUACAAUUAUUUUUCCAUUUUUGUUUUUCUUUUAAAAUAUAUUAUUGAGCUAUUAAAUAAUUUAAAAUGUAAAAGUUGUCAACUAUAAAGUUUUAUGUCUCGUCGAGUUCUACAAUUUUGAUAUAAAAUUUGUAUUCAUCCGAGAUGACAUGAAAAAGUUUGUAUUAAAAAAAUACAUCUAUUAAACUCAUUCACAUAUACUUGUACAUUAACAUAUACUCACGCAUGUACUUAUUUAUCUAUUAUAUACUUAUAUACAUUUAGAUCUCGUUGAGUGUUACAACUUUCAUAUAGAGCUUCUCUAUAACCGAAGACCUUUGAAAAUUAAAAUUUGUAGAUUUCAAAAUUAAAGAACUUAUAAUAACAUUUUAGAGUAAUAAACAAUCUCAAAUGAAA